RNAcentral lists this long non-coding RNA (813 nucleotides) under Gallus gallus (chicken). RNAcentral describes it as "long non-coding RNA NONGGAT001493". The record is from RNAcentral. Lineage: Eukaryota; Metazoa; Chordata; Aves; Galliformes; Phasianidae.
AUUUUAUGAUUCUCUGAUCCAUUCAGUGCCACUCAAGUGGUAUCCAUCUCCUUGCUUGUGUUGCAAACCCACACCUGUUUCCCAACAGCUAUUGUGAUCACCGAGCAGCCGGUCUCUGUCUCCGUUCCUGUUGGGUACUCCUUCACUCUUCACUGCAGAGCUGAGGCCCACACCUCACUGCAGUACCAGUGGUUUUGUCAGUGCCAGGUAAUGUUGUGAGCAGGGGUGACUUUCCUCACUGCAUUGGGCCAGCGCCAUGCCCUGCAGUGAGGGGAGCUGGCUCUCUGUGAGCAAUGCAGUGGGCAGCGGGAGGCUGGAAAAGAAUAGAGGAAAUGUGGUACUACAGAUGUGCUUGCCAAGGGUUUCCACUGGUUUGUGCUCCCCAUAUCAUUGUGAGGAGGUGACACAACCAGGGAUUCCAGCUUUUCCUGCCUUUAAAGGGGCUUGCUAGUGUCUUCUGCUACCAGCAGUGAUGGGGGGACUUGCUGCCCACUGCCUGUGUUUUCCCUGUAGUCUGUCUGCCACCAGAUUCCCGGAGCCACCAAGCAAGACUUGCCCAUCACUGCACAGAAGACCAAACUCUACACUUGCAGAAUUAACGACCUCUACAGAAAUGUGAUCUUCUCUGACUGGGUGAAGGUGGAGGUUCAUCCAUGUGUUGCCAGAGGACUACUCCCUCAGCUCUGGCAAGGAGAACCAAUCAUCAUCCUCAACCCCACUGAGCAGAAGGUGGAAGUCGGAAAACCACUACAGCUGCAGUGUGCUGCCAUUGGGGUCCCAGCCCCCAGCUACCAGUGGUACCGAAAUGGGAAC